UACGUAGGGUGCGAGCGUUAAUCGGAAUUACUGGGCGUAAAGCGUGCGCAGGCGGUGCACCAAGCUCGAUGUGAAAGCCCCGGGCUUAACCUGGGAAUUGCAUUGAGGACUGGUGUGCUCGAGUGCGGCAGAGGGGGGUGGAAUUCCCGGUGUAGCAGUGAAAUGCGUAGAGAUCGGGAGGAAUAUCUGUGGCGAAGGCGACUGCCUGGACCAGCACUGACACUGAGGCACGAAAGCGUGGGGAGCAAACAGG
This 253-nucleotide ribosomal RNA is filed under the name uncultured bacterium. RNAcentral's name for it is "partial 16S ribosomal RNA". It matches the Rfam family "Bacterial small subunit ribosomal RNA", at positions 524 to 776 of the family's 1533-position model. The record is from RNAcentral.